AUGACGGAGAUUUCGGUCAACGGAUUGGACUACCUAGUGGCGGACGGGUGAGUAACGCGUGAGCAACCUGCCCUUCGGAGGGGGACAACAGUUGGAAACGACUGCUAAUACCGCAUAACAUAACGGGAAGGCAUCUUCUUGUUAUCAAAGAUUUAUCGCCGAAGGAUGGGCUCGCGUCUGAUUAGCUAGUUGGUGGGGUAACGGCCCACCAAGGCGACGAUCAGUAGCCGGACUGAGAGGUUGAACGGCCACAUUGGGACUGAGAUACGGCCCAGACUCC
RNAcentral lists this ribosomal RNA (280 nucleotides) under uncultured Oscillospiraceae bacterium. Its description in RNAcentral is "partial 16S ribosomal RNA". It matches the Rfam family "Bacterial small subunit ribosomal RNA", at positions 61 to 339 of the family's 1533-position model. The record is from RNAcentral. Lineage: Bacteria; Bacillati; Bacillota; Clostridia; Eubacteriales; Oscillospiraceae.